RNAcentral lists this ribosomal RNA (433 nucleotides) under uncultured bacterium. RNAcentral describes it as "partial 16S ribosomal RNA". It matches the Rfam family "Bacterial small subunit ribosomal RNA", at positions 29 to 507 of the family's 1533-position model. The record is from RNAcentral.
AACGAACGCUGGCGGCAUGCCUAACACAUGCAAGUCGAACGAGACCUUCGGGUCUAGUGGCGCACGGGUGCGUAACGCGUGGGAACCUGCCCUUAGGUUCGGAAUAACUCCCCGAAAGGGGUGCUAAUACCGGAUAAUGUCUUCGGACCAAAGAUUUAUCGCCUUUGGAUGGGCCCGCGUUGGAUUAGCUAGUUGGUAGGGUAAAAGCCUACCAAGGCGACGAUCCAUAGCUGGUCUGAGAGGAUGAUCAGCCACACUGGGACUGAGACACGGCCCAGACUCCUACGGGAGGCAGCAGUGGGGAAUAGUGGACAAUGGGCGAAAGGCUGAUCCAGCAAGGCCGCGUGAGUGAUGAAGGCCGUAGGGUUGUAAAGCGCUUUUACCCGGGACGAUAAUGACAGUACCGGGAGAAUAAGCGCCGGCUAACUCCGUG